This 497-nucleotide ribosomal RNA is filed under the name uncultured bacterium. RNAcentral describes it as "partial 16S ribosomal RNA". It matches the Rfam family "Bacterial small subunit ribosomal RNA", at positions 28 to 507 of the family's 1533-position model. The record is from RNAcentral.
GAUGAACGCUGGCGGCGUUCCUAAUACAUGCAAGUCGAGCGAACUGACUAGAAGCUUGCUUCUCUGAUGUUAGCGGCGGACGGGUGAGUAACACGUGGAUAACCUACCUAUAAGACUGGGAUAACUUCGGGAAACCGGAGCUAAUACCGGAUUAUCUUUUGAACCGCAUUGUUCAAAAGUGAAAGACGGUCUUGCUGUCACUUAUAGAUGGAUCCGCUCUGCAUUAGCUAGUUGGUAAGGUAACGGCUUACCAAGGCAACGAUGCAUAGCCGACCUGAGAGGGUGAUCGGCCACACAGGAACUGAGACACGGUCCAGACUCCGACGGGAGGCAGCAGUAGGGAAUGUUCGGCGAUGGGCGAAAGCCUGACGGAGCAACGGCGCGUGAGUGAUGAAGGUCAUCGGAACGUAAAACUAUGUUAUGAGGGAAGAACAGAUGUGUAAGUAACAGUGCAAGUCUGGACGGUACAGAAUCAGAAAGACACGGAUAACUACGUG